This 299-nucleotide signal recognition particle RNA is filed under the name Cebus imitator (Panamanian white-faced capuchin). RNAcentral's name for it is "Metazoan signal recognition particle RNA (ENSCCAG00000014524.1)". It matches the Rfam family "Metazoan signal recognition particle RNA". From Rfam's summary of the family: The signal recognition particle (SRP) is a universally conserved ribonucleoprotein. It is involved in the co-translational targeting of proteins to membranes. Lineage: Eukaryota; Metazoa; Chordata; Mammalia; Primates; Cebidae. The record is from RNAcentral.
ACCAGGCAUGGUGUUGAGUGCUUGUAGUCCCAGCUACUCAGGAGGCUGAGGUGGGAGGAUCACUUGAGCCCAGGAGUUCUGGGCUGUAGUGUGCUAUGCCGAUCAGGUGUCUGCACUAAGUUCAGCAUCAAUAUGGUGACCUUCCAGGAGCAAGGGACCACCAGAUUGCCUAAGGAGGGGUGAACCAGCCCAGGUCAGAAAUGGAGCAGGUCAAAACUCCUGUGCUGAUCAGUAGUGGGAUUGCUCCUGUGAAUAGCCACUGCACACCAGCCUGGGCAACACAGCAAGACCCCAUCUCU